This 36-nucleotide transfer RNA is filed under the name Crocidura grayi (Luzon shrew). RNAcentral's name for it is "partial tRNA-Glu". RNAcentral also lists the same sequence under 1 other name. Lineage: Eukaryota; Metazoa; Chordata; Mammalia; Eulipotyphla; Soricidae. The record is from RNAcentral.
GAAAAACCAUCGUUGUUUUUCAACUACAGAAACUUU